UCUAAGGUUGGUGUUAGAUGAGGCUCAUCAAUGUUAAUCCCAAGUUUAGUUUAGAUCAUGCUUCUAUCAGUGUCCCUGUGCCAUCAACCACCAGCACAAUUGGCAUCCCCCACUCCAGUGGAUCGGUGGAUGAAGUCGUAUAUAUGGAGGGGGAGGGUUCAAAGAUGAUGUCUUGACCAAGGCCACCUCCACCACCUUUUAGGGUCUCCGUCGUGGCCUCGCAGCCAUGAGAUGAGAACACUCAUUCAGAAGAAAGAGAAGGGAGGAGAGAAGAUAGUGAUGGAGGAGAUGGUGAACAAGAGGGAGGAGGAGGAUGAUGUGGUGCUUCCCGGAUUCCGAUUCCACCCCACGGAUGAAGAGCUCGUCGGGUUUUAUCUCCGCCGGAAGGUGGAGAAGAAGACUCCCAGCAUCGAUAUCAUCAAAGAGAUGGAUAUCUACAAGCAUGAUCCAUGGGAUCUACCAAGAGUCGUCACUGCCGGAGACGAGUCGUCCUACUUCUUCUGCCGUCGAGGGAGGAAGUACAGGAACAGCAUAAGGCCGAACCGGGUGACCGGGUCCGGUUUCUGGAAGGCCACCGGCAUCGAUAAGCCGAUCAACUCCUCAGGCGACUGCGUCGGCCUGAAGAAGUCGCUGGUGUACUACCGAGGGAGCGCCGGGAAGGGAACCAAGACAGACUGGAUGAUGCACGAGUUCCGCCUCCCCUCCGGUGACAGCAGCAUCGCCGACGACACCAGAAGCACGCAGGAAGCUGAGAUCUGGACCAUCUGCCGAAUCUUCAAGAGGAGCGCCUCCUACAGAAAGCAAUCGAGCAAAUGGAAGGCAUCAUCAACCCACAAGCGAGCUCCAGCUGACUCCAGCUGCGUAACCAGCAGCUUCGAUUGCGACAACGGAAGCGACUACAGGUGCUGCGCCUCCUCAGGCUACUCUUGCUCUCAGGAGCACAACCAGGUGCAUGGAUGGCAGUGCAACUCGAUCAGCCAACCUCCAUCGCUGUACUCCAACGUGGUUCAGAGUCCAAGCACGAAUGAGUUCUUCAGAGAUGGCGACUGCUGGGACGAGCUUGGAAGGAUGAUGGAGUUCAUGGCAGACCAAAGCGUCCCUAUGAGUGUGGAUACAGUUAGAGGGAUGUAUCAUGAUGCAUAGUAACGCCAACAACUAGAUAGAAUAAGGGAAUAAGAAACGGGAAGCCCGUCAGUGAUAUGACUGCUUCAUGCUUACACUUACCUUCGAUGUCCCAAACAAUAUGGACGGAAUAAAUUGGAAUGGUUGCUCGGUA
Musa acuminata AAA Group (dessert banana) is the source of this 1276-nucleotide RNA transcript. It is a transcript of the gene named transcription factor JUNGBRUNNEN 1-like, with no coding region annotated. The record is from RefSeq and is a predicted model, not a curated record. NCBI's taxonomy places the organism in Eukaryota, Viridiplantae, Streptophyta, Magnoliopsida, Zingiberales, Musaceae. The transcript is spliced from 3 exons.